Molecule: ribosomal RNA, 460 nt
Filed under: uncultured bacterium
Lineage: Bacteria
Description: partial 16S ribosomal RNA
Rfam family: Bacterial small subunit ribosomal RNA
Source: RNAcentral
CCUACGGGCGGCAGCAGUGAGGAAUAUUGGUCAAUGGGCUUACGCCUGAACCAGCCAAGUCGCGUGAGGGAAGACUGCCCUAUGGGUUGUAAACCUCUUUUGUCAGGGAGCAAUUGGCGCUACGUGUAGCGUUAUCGAGAGUACCUGAAGAAAAAGCAUCGGCUAACGCCGUGCCAGCCGCCGCGGUAAUACGAAGGAUGCGAGCGUUAUCCGGAUUUAUUGGGUUUAAAGGGUGCGUAGGCGGAAUGCCAAGUCAGCGGUAAAAUCGCGGGACUCAACCCAGCUCCGCCGUUGAACCUGGCGUGCUUGAGUGGGCGAGAAGUAUGCGGAAUGCGUGGUGUAGCGGUGAAAUGCAUAGAUAUCACGCAGAACUCCGAUUGCGAAGGCAGCAUACCGGCGCCCAACUGACGCUGAAGCACGAAAGCGUGGGUAUCGAACAGGAUUAGAUACCCCUGUAGUC